Molecule: ribosomal RNA, 254 nt
Filed under: uncultured bacterium
Lineage: Bacteria
Description: partial 16S ribosomal RNA
Rfam family: Bacterial small subunit ribosomal RNA
Source: RNAcentral
UACGUAGGGAGCGAACGUUGUCCGGAUUUAUUGGGCGUAAAGGGCUCGUAGGCGGUUCAACAAGUCGGUCGUGAAAGCCCGGGGCUCAACCCCGGGAUGCCGGUCGAAACUGUUGUGACUUGAGUUCGGUAGAGGUGAGUGGAAUUCUCGGUGUAGCGGUGGAAUGCGCAGAUAUCGAGAGGAACACCCGUGGCGAAGGCGGCUCACUGGGCCGAUACUGACGCUGAGGAGCGAAAGCGUGGGGAGCAAACAGG